GAAGUCCAUAAACAACACUCAUAAAAUUAGGGAACCUAUUGCAACUGUAUUUGAUAAUCAUAAAAUAAAAGCAGCAUUGUCACUCGAAACAUAACAGCCACAGACCCCCCACCACUGACAAAGGAAAAGAAGAAGAAGAAAGAAAAAUUCAAUUGAAAGAAAACCCCACAACAGUUUGAAUUGACUUCUCUAUAUACAAGGGUAUCUCUUUCUCCUCUA
Molecule: unclassified non-coding RNA, 219 nt
Filed under: Hevea brasiliensis (rubber tree)
Lineage: Eukaryota; Viridiplantae; Streptophyta; Magnoliopsida; Malpighiales; Euphorbiaceae
Source: RNAcentral